AUUGAACGCUGGCGGAAUGCUUUACACAUGCAAGUCGAACGGCAGCACGGGAGCUUGCUCUUGGUGGCGAGUGGCGAACGGGUGAGUAAUGCGUCGGAACGUACCGAGUAAUGGGGGAUAACGCAGCGAAAGUUGUGCUAAUACCGCAUACGCCCUCCGGGGGAAAGCAGGGGAUCUUCGGACCUUGCGUUAUUCGAGCGGCCGACGUCUGAUUAGCUAGUUGGUGUGGUAAAGGCCUACCAAGGCGACGAUCAGUAGCGGGUCUGAGAGGAUGAUCCGCCACACUGGAACUGAGACACGGUCCAGACUCCUACGGGAGGCAG
RNAcentral lists this ribosomal RNA (323 nucleotides) under uncultured Pseudomonadota bacterium. RNAcentral's name for it is "bacterial SSU rRNA". It matches the Rfam family "Bacterial small subunit ribosomal RNA", at positions 30 to 351 of the family's 1533-position model. Lineage: Bacteria; Pseudomonadati; Pseudomonadota. The record is from RNAcentral.